GACGAACGCUGGCGGCGUGCUUAACACAUGCAAGUCGAACGAAGUGGCGAACGGGUGAGUAACGCGUAAUCAACCUGCCCUUCAGAGGGGGACAACAGUUGGAAACGACUGCUAAUACCGCAUACUGAAGGAGGGGAUUGCGUCUGAUUAGCUAGUUGGAGGGGUAACGGCCCACCAAGGCGAUGAUCAGUAGGCGGGCUGAGAGGAUGAACCGCCACAUUGGGACUGAGACACGGGCCAGACUCCUAAGGGGGGCGGCAGUGGGGAAUCUUCCGAAAUGGACGAAAGUCUGACGGAGCAAAGGCGCAUGAGUGAUGACGGCCUUCGGGUUGGAAAGGUCUGUUAAUCGGGACGCGGUACCGGAAUAGAAAGCCACGGCUAACUACGUGCCAGCAGCCGCGGUAAUUC
RNAcentral lists this ribosomal RNA (408 nucleotides) under uncultured bacterium. RNAcentral's name for it is "partial 16S ribosomal RNA". It matches the Rfam family "Bacterial small subunit ribosomal RNA", at positions 28 to 526 of the family's 1533-position model. The record is from RNAcentral.